This 329-nucleotide long non-coding RNA is filed under the name Setaria viridis. Its description in RNAcentral is "long non-coding RNA (SVIR_LNC007045)". The record is from RNAcentral. Lineage: Eukaryota; Viridiplantae; Streptophyta; Magnoliopsida; Poales; Poaceae.
UAAAACAAGCCUAACAAAAUUGGUUUCACUAAUUUUGGACACUCCUACAAAUUUCUGCGAUUAAAAUGGUGUAAAAUGAAUUUAAACGAAUUAUUUUGCUAAAGGAAAUCUAAUUUUUCCCGAAAAUCACCCGAAAUACUUUUAUUACUCACCCACUCUCUACCCUCUCUCACGAACACUGGGCCCCACGGCGCGGACCCCACCUCGCCUAUUCCUUCUACCCGCCAGCGCUAUUCCUCCCCCCGACGGGCCCCGCGGGCCGAUUUUCUUUUUCUUCUUUCUUCUGCGGCCCAAUACCGGCCCACGGCCUUCUUUCCUUUUUCUUCUUU